GGGAACACAGUGGCUCCUGGGAAAUAACCACUAAAGUCUUGAAAUGUCUUGAGUGAUUGGAGGACCUUUAUUUUUCACGCCUGAUGCCUUAUGCUGAUGAGAUGACUCAGCAGGGGAUGGCCAGGCCAGAAAGACCAAAACUGUAUCCUGAGGUUUGAGUUUCUGAGCCAGGUGAUGUCAUCCUCCAGCUUGGCCGGCCUCUUUCUGGGAGCCUCUGGUGUGAAAGAGAGCAGGAGUUUGCCUAAAUCUUCAAAGAUAUGUGAGGCUUGCCUAGAACAUCAUCAUCAGGAAUGCUGGUCCUUCAAUUUGUUUUUUGAAUUGAAGUGUAGUUUACAGUGAUCAAGUUGAAAAUAAGGCUCUGCAUGAAAGCUAACUAUUAAAAGGGUGUGGGCACAGGAGCAACCAACACAGACCCCACAGAAUCCCAAACCUAUGCUAAGAGGGAGCACUUCCAUCCCUCCAAACCUGUGCUAAGAGGGACACCUCCAUCCUUCUAAGCCUGUGCUAAGAGGGAACACCUCCAUCCUUCCAAACCUGUGAUAGGAGGGAGCAUCUCCAUCCUUCUGAACCUGUGCUAAGAGGAAACACCUCCAUCCUUCCAAACCUGUGAUAGGAGGGAGCACCUCCAUCCUUCCGAACCUGUGCUAAGAGGGACACCUCCAUCCUUCCAAGCCUGUGCUAAGAGGGAGCACCUCCAUCCUUCCAAACCUGUGAUAGGAGGGAGCACCUCCAUCCUUCCAAGCCUGUGCUAAGAGGGAGCACCUCCAUCCUUCCAAACCUGUGAUAGGAGGGAGCACCUCCAUCCUUCCGAACCUGUGCUAAGAGGGACACCUCCAUCCUUCCAAGCCUGUGCUAAGAAGGAGCACCUCCAUCCUUCCAUCUGGCAACCCCACAUCUUUCUGUGCAGCAUUGGCUCAUGGAGUUUUGCACAAUCUGUUGCCUUAAUGCAGCUGUGAGGUGGUAAACCCCAUGCCAUUGCACAGCUGUGCUGGUGGAGUCUUCAACAACAGAGGGAUGAAACGAGAGUGCUGAGUGAUGGGUGGAGUGUGCUCACAGAAGCCAGCUGUGCUUGCCCCACUCCCACCCAAAAUGUUUACCCACGUGGGAAAUGCCUGCCCUGCAUAGGAGUACCCAAGGAACCCAGGAUAUAAAGAAACUUCUAAAAUGGAUCUGAAAGGGGGAAGAGCCCUCCCCUGUAAGGAAGCGAGAGAGAUUUAUUAAAAAUCAUCAACUUCAAAUUAUUUGGAUGGAAACAUUGCCAAAUCAUAGAGAUGUUUGCUACCACCCGCACACCAAGCAGCUGGGUAACUAGAAGUGCAGGAUCAGCUUAUUCACCUCCGAAAGCCUGCAUGCAACCACUGAGGCCGCCUCUAUUUUUUACAUAGUUCUACUUGGUGUAUGUAACCCCACAGAGAAACCUGGAAGAAUGCAUGAAACCUAGUAAGGCAACCAGCACAUGCAACAGAAUGAACCGUUUCUUUCCAUCUGAAUGCCUAAAUGUGGACUCUGAUCCUUUCUACCAAGUCCUAAGUUUGGGAAAAGAGGACAAGGACAGGGGCUCUGUCCCAUAUCAUAAUGUGCUUGUGAAUGGCUAAAAUUACAAUGCUGAGAUAAGUGUGUGUAAUAAAAUAAUUGCACCCCGAA
This is a long non-coding RNA of Homo sapiens (human), 1644 nucleotides long. Ensembl annotates it as long intergenic non-protein coding RNA 2411. Lineage: Eukaryota; Metazoa; Chordata; Mammalia; Primates; Hominidae. The record is from Ensembl.